RNAcentral lists this ribosomal RNA (502 nucleotides) under uncultured bacterium. Its description in RNAcentral is "bacterial SSU rRNA". It matches the Rfam family "Bacterial small subunit ribosomal RNA", at positions 28 to 524 of the family's 1533-position model. The record is from RNAcentral.
GACGAACGCUGGCGGCGCGCCUAAUACAUGCAAGUCGAGCGAGAAGGUGUAGCAAUACACUUGUAAAGCGGCGAACGGGUGAGGAAUGCAUGGGUAACCUACCCUCGAGUGGGGAAUAACUAGCCGAAAGGUUAGCUAAUACCGCAUACGUUUCCGGAACUUCGGUUUCGGAAAGAAAGCAAUACCGUGGGUAUUGCGCUCCUGGAUGGGCUCAUGUCCUAUCAGCUUGUUGGUGAGGUAACGGCUCACCAAGGCUUCGACGGGUAGCUGGUCUGAGAGGACGAUCAGCCACACUGGCACUGCGACACGGGCCAGACUCCUACGGGAGCAGCAGUAAGGAAUAUUGCGCAAUGGACGAAAGUCUGACGUAGCGACGCCGCGUGGGGGAUGAAGGUCUUCGGGAUUGUAAACCCCUUUCGGGAGGGAAGAUGGAGUGGGUAACCACUUGGACGGUACCUCCAGAAGCAGCCACGGCUAACUUCGUGCCAGCAGCCGCGGUAAU